CUUGCAAUUUCCUAUUUCCGUGUCCUGUUCCCCCAACACUCAAAGCUAAGACCAUCUUCUUCCUGCCUCUCGUCACCAUGGGCUCCAUGCUCCUCUGCUGUGUGGUCUUUUGUCUCCUGGGAACAGGCUCCAUGGAUGUUGGUAUUACCCAGACUCCAAGGAAUAGGAUAGCAAACACAGGAAAGAGCACUGUACUGGAAUGUUCUCAGACUAAGGGUCAUGAGUCUAUGUACUGGUACCGACAAGACCCAGGACUGGGGCUCCGGCAGAUCUACUACUCCCACGGUGUCGAUGAUAUUAACAAAGGAGAUGUCUCCGAUGGGUACAGAGUCUCUCGUAAGGAGCAGGCGAAGUUCUCCCUCUUCCUAGAGCCCGCCACCCCCAACCAGACAGCCCUUUACUUCUGUGCCAGCAGUAUUUGCACAGUGCUUCCUGGCCACCUGCUCUCUACACAGAAAGACAGGCACCUUUGCUCAUAA
This is a non-coding RNA of Aethalodelphis obliquidens (Pacific white-sided dolphin), 479 nucleotides long. Lineage: Eukaryota; Metazoa; Chordata; Mammalia; Artiodactyla; Delphinidae. The record is from the annotation of a RefSeq genome assembly.